RNAcentral lists this non-coding RNA (32 nucleotides) under Mus musculus (house mouse). The record is from RNAcentral. Lineage: Eukaryota; Metazoa; Chordata; Mammalia; Rodentia; Muridae.
UAAAACAAAUUAUAGUGUCAACUCAGCCCUCC